This 463-nucleotide ribosomal RNA is filed under the name uncultured bacterium. RNAcentral describes it as "bacterial SSU rRNA". It matches the Rfam family "Bacterial small subunit ribosomal RNA", at positions 28 to 507 of the family's 1533-position model. The record is from RNAcentral.
GAUGAACGCUAGCGGUGUGCCUAAUGCAUGCAAGUCGAACGGGAUCCUUUGGAUUCGUCUGAAGGUGAGAGUGGCGAACGGGUGAGUAACACGUAGGUGACCUGCCCCGGAGAGGGGGACAACCACUGGAAACGGUGGCUAAUACCCCAGAUGUUAUUGCGCUUAGAAAGCAAUUACUAAAGUUCCGGCGCUCCGGGAGGGGCCUGCGGCCCAUCAGCUUGUUGGUAAGGUAAUGGCUUACCAAGGCUAAGACGGGUAGGGGGCGUGAGAGCGUGACCCCCCACACUGGUACUGAGACACGGACCAGAUACCUGCGGGUAGCAGCAGCAAGGAAUAUUGCCCAAUGGACGAAAGUCUGAGGCAGCAACACCGCGUGGAGGAUGAAGGCCUUCGGGUUGUAAACUCCUUUUCUGGGGGAAGAGAAAGGACGGUACCCCAGGAAUAAGUCUCGGCUAACUACGUG